RNAcentral lists this microRNA (21 nucleotides) under Picea abies (Norway spruce). RNAcentral's name for it is "pab-miR11581". The record is from miRBase by way of RNAcentral. Lineage: Eukaryota; Viridiplantae; Streptophyta; Pinopsida; Pinales; Pinaceae.
UUUGGAUUCCUUACAGUAGCC